RNAcentral lists this non-coding RNA (30 nucleotides) under Rattus norvegicus (Norway rat). Lineage: Eukaryota; Metazoa; Chordata; Mammalia; Rodentia; Muridae. The record is from RNAcentral.
UGAUUAUCUGGCCUUCAGAAAAGCCCUUUU